Molecule: long non-coding RNA, 577 nt
Filed under: Ricinus communis (castor bean)
Lineage: Eukaryota; Viridiplantae; Streptophyta; Magnoliopsida; Malpighiales; Euphorbiaceae
Description: long non-coding RNA (RCOM_LNC000756)
Source: RNAcentral
CUUAACGCCUAAACUAUUUAUUUUUUCCAUUAUAAGGAGGCCAAGAGCCUCAGAACAAUCUAGUACUACAAAGUCUAGAAAAGGAUACACCAAUCCCAUAUUGGUUCAUCAACGCAACAACGGUACGAGAAGGCACUGAAAGAAAAUGGCAUUGGCAACCCCAGACUAAUAUUGAUACCCAUACUGGCUAUGUGGUCAGCACAGCUACUUGCCUUGCCUCUCUGUAGAUGUGUUUAACAUGCACCGCCCAGUCCCAGGAAGGCUGCAAAUGGUUGGUUUCUCUAAUUAAAAGCCGUAACCGAAGCUGCAGCUGAAUUUCUUUUGCUGCUCAAUCAGAAUUCCCACCAAAACUUUGUCCCCAAGCUCAACGUGCCUACGACCGCCAUUCCAAGCCACAGGAAGGCCGCGAACAGCAACCCAACAUUCAGCUGCCAACAACACACUGCACAAAUACGAAUAUUCACCACAAGCUCAGAGUCCCAGGCACCCUGAACUUGCCAUUACUAGGUUGCACAUCAGUGUUAUUUUUCACGCAUUCAGCAGGUGGGAGGAUUCCAGCAUUAAGUGUUAUUUUAAU